Molecule: long non-coding RNA, 2339 nt
Organism: Mercenaria mercenaria
Lineage: Eukaryota; Metazoa; Mollusca; Bivalvia; Venerida; Veneridae
Exons: 2
Source: RefSeq, a predicted model, not a curated record
AGGAAAAACCAAUUUAUAUGUUAAUUGUUUAAUUUUGCAACAUUCACGUACAUUUAUAACAAUAACUUAAAACCAUAAACAGUGCUUUUUAGCAAACACUACUUCCUAGAAACCAAUUCAUAGCAACUGAAAUUGACGUCAUAAAUAAAUCGAGAACAACAAACAGGGGAAUCACCGGCGGAAACAGGUGCAGCCGAGAUGAAAUCUAACAAUCACGUUAACAUUCUGUUGACAUAUUUCGUCAGCUUAGUUAAACUCUAUUAUUAGAAGUUAACUUUGUAGAUUUUAAUUUGUAAUCAGAUACCAUCUACUCAAUCCUUUCUAAAAUUUGAGCAUUAUAGCUACUGCGUGCUAAGAAAUAAAAUCUGUAAGAAGAAAUCCUUUGGAAGUAUAGAAUGCAACUACGCAAAACAAUAGCAGACUUGGUUUGAAUACAUUUGUUAAUGAGAGGUAAUGGAAAGUGCAACACCUCUCACGCCCCAUAGCACCGGCGUACACGGAACUCUAUUACACAUGCAUGUUUCGAAUGGACUCCGUGAUCCCAAAGGACCAGAAAAUAUAACAACACUGAAUACUUGUGACGAUGUGAUUGGCGUUCGCCGGUGCUAAAUCCGUUUAACGUGUUCCAAUGACAUUCUCUAGCACUGUUCUAAACUUAAAAGGAUUCUUUUAUAAAAAUAAAACAGAACACAUUUCCACCAUGGUUUCUGUUGUAAAUAAACAUAAAUAAUCGAUCGGAACUAAAACACUAAUUUAAUUUAACCGAAACUGGUGGUUUCUCUGCACCAGGGCUUAUAUAGAAAAGUGCGCACAAGUUUCAAACAUGUAAAAACCCGAUUCUGUUUUACUCCAUUGAUUUAAAAUUUGUGCAAAGUACCAUUUUUAAGAAAUUUCAAGGGAUAAAUACCAUUUAUCUAGCUCCGUCAAAGACUCAAAAUACACUGUGUAACUACUAUGUAUUGUAUUUUCCGGCGAACGUUUGGUUUAUAUUACCCUGUUAAUUUAGUUUUGGUGUAAUGUUUUCUGUGAUUUUAUAAGCUAAAAGCUACAUUGUAAGCAAUAUUGGACGCCUUAUAUUGUUAAUACUACAAUAAAAUUGCAAUAUAUACUUUUGGCGGUAUGUUAAGCUGUUGUUGUUUUUCAUAUCAUCCUGGAUAAAGAUAUUUUUGAGAUAACAGUUAAAUGUAUAAACGGUUGUAUGACGUAGGCGUAGCUUCUGUGGUUUUGUGUAGUUGAUAUCCUAUAGAUACAAAAUGGGUUUUUCCAGUAAAUUUAAAUGUUCUACAUUUCUUAUUUCCAUUCAUAAAUAUCUUUUUUUUAAACAAUUAUGAUCGCGUUUAACCAUGGGUAAAUUCGCCCCCUUAAUGCAAAUAAGGUACCAUAACCUUUAAUUAUCAGCACAUGGUACAUUUUUGCUUUAAGGGGGCGAAUUGUAGUAUAAAAAGGGACACUCCGAACAAUAUAUAUGCUUUUGAAUAAAUUUGAAAACUUACUUGAAACUUACUUGAAAAUAUAAAAGAGCAAAAUGAGGUUGAACAUUGUUCACUGUGCUUUGUGGAUAGUUAUACUUCUGCCAUUGAACACCGGUAAAGUGUGCCUGGACUGGACCAAGAGCUGUUAUUCCGAGCGCAUAACAUGUCAUGGAAUCAUUUCCGGGUUAAAUUUAUAUAAAAUGCAAAGUUGUUCGUAUCAAUGUUGGAAUAUGGGAUAUUUACAGGGGAACUGUAUGAAAAUAAAUGAACCAAGAACAUUUAACUGCAAAACAGGAUCUACGCAUGCAUGGAUAUGUUUGUGCGAUCACAGCCGUCCUGGAUGGAAACAUAGACAUUGCCGAUAGGUAAUGUUACUACGUAAUGAAAACUGGCAUCACGAGGAUUGGUCCUGCGGGAAACGAUUUUAAACAUGAAUCGUAAUACCUACGACAUUUAAAGAACUAAACAGAGAUUUCACGGGAUGAUUAAACUGUAAGUUUAAGAGUAAAUACAUUUUGAGAGGGAAAAUACAUCGAUAGAGCGAGUAUCGAAAUGCACUAAUUGAUCUGACAUAGUUACAUACACUCUGAAACAGCGAUUUUAGGAGUCGAAUUAUUGGAUCUUUUUAAAAGGUUUUUUCUUACUUCACAUAUUCAUUGCUGCCAACUGCAUCAACUUUAUUUAUUUAUUUAUUUAUUUAUUUAUUUAUUUAUUUAUUUAUUUGCUGACCUUUCAUGUAUAUAUUGGGCUGGGGCCACUUACAUAUCAAUUGACAUUCCUGUUAUGUUUUUAAAAUACAAAUAAUUGUGGAUUUUUUAUUGUUUUUGUUUUGUUUUCUUUUGUAAAUAAACUGACCUAAACAUAAAA